This 229-nucleotide long non-coding RNA is filed under the name Cricetulus griseus (Chinese hamster). RNAcentral's name for it is "lncRNA (ENSCGRG00000026668.1)". Lineage: Eukaryota; Metazoa; Chordata; Mammalia; Rodentia; Cricetidae. The record is from RNAcentral.
CUUUACACUGCCCACCAGACCCAGGCUGCCGCGACUCUCUGAAUGGUGGCGGACUUACUGGAAACUUAGGAGGCAGCAAACAGCCUAGUGGAAAAUCUUCAAGCCGGGGCACAUAGGGAAUGGAGAAGCCAGGAGAGACUGUGCCAGCCAGGAGGAUGUCAAGAUGUCAGCCUGAACUCAGAAGACAAUGUAGACUUUAGGAAGAGGACUGCUCAGAACAGAAGUCAUG